Molecule: ribosomal RNA, 484 nt
Filed under: uncultured bacterium
Lineage: Bacteria
Description: partial 16S ribosomal RNA
Rfam family: Bacterial small subunit ribosomal RNA
Source: RNAcentral
AUUGAACGCUGGCGGCAUGCUUUACACAUGCCAGUCGAACGGCAGCGCGGGCUUCGGCCUGGCGGCGAGUGGCGAACGGGUGAGUAAUACAUCGGAACGUGCCCAGUAGUGGGGGAUAGCUCGGCGAAAGCCGGAUUAAUACCGCAUACGACCUGAGGGUGAAAGCGGGGGAUCUUCGGACCUCGCGCUAUUGGAGCGGCCGAUGGCAGAUUAGCUAGUUGGUGGGGUAAAGGCCUACCAAGGCGACGAUCUGUAGCUGGUCUGAGAGGACGACCAGCCACACUAGGACUGAGACACGGCCCAGACUCCUACGGGAGGCAGCAGUGGGGAAUUUUGGACAAUGGGCGAAAGCCUGAUCCAGCAAUGCCGCGUGUGUGAUGAAGGCCUUCGGGUUGUAAAGCACUUUUGGCGGGAACGAAAAGGACUGUGCCAAUACCACGGUUCGAUGACGGUACCCGCAGAAUAAGCACCGGCUAACUACGUG